This 1853-nucleotide long non-coding RNA is filed under the name Coturnix japonica (Japanese quail). RNAcentral describes it as "lncRNA (ENSCJPG00005019589.1)". Lineage: Eukaryota; Metazoa; Chordata; Aves; Galliformes; Phasianidae. The record is from RNAcentral.
GCCUGGGGAAAAUCCUAUGUCUCAGUCACUUAACCUGUAAAAAGUUAUGAGUAGGAAGCAGGCAACUCAGGACAUUUCCAGAAAGUGUUGUCAGCAACAAAACACAGUCACUGGGUAAUGUGAUGCUCUGCUGCAUCUGUUACUCAUGAACUAGGAAGAACUGAUUGGAAUGUGACUGUAGCUACUAUUAAGCAGUGCAUUUCAACAUCAUAAAUGGAGAGAGGAGGGCAAAUGGCAAGGUACAGACACCAGGCUUGAGGCAACAAGACUCCAACUUACUCAGGAAGGUGGUUGUUGGGAUCUUUUUGGAGGCAGCUUAAGAAAACCAGGACAACCUUUUUGGGCAACCAUCUUGCAAGCUCAGGAAUGGUCUACUCCAAUACUCAGCAAGGGUGGAGAUGUUGAGCCAAGUGGGGAAGCUGAGCUACAGUGAUGCCCACACAUUCCUGCUCAGAAACUGGAACUAUGACUCCACCGGUUGAUCCAAGAUACCACAACAUGCAUGCUGCAUCAGGUUCCUGAAGAAAUUCAUACAGUCUUGAAUGGCAAGAUUCAUUUCUUCACAAAUCUCCACAAACUCUGCACAACUAAAAAUCAUCAGCUUUCUGUCAACCCCAAGGCUUAUCUGUGACUUCUCCCACCCUUUCUGCUGCAAGAAGGCCCUUUUCUCCUUUCAUGAGACUCCCAGCUUACACUGCAGAUUUCCAUGACUCAAAAAGAAAAACAACCAAGUGCUCCUAUACCCAGCUGGUGUAAAUACAGCACAGUUGAUCUAAUGUAACCAAACAGCUCAAGAUCCAACAACUGAUAACAAGAAUUGCUGUGGGAGUAUUUCAGAGUAAUGUAGAUGUCAGAGGCCAAUGCUGAGUCUGGAGCCAGCCCAAAUGCAAGGAACGAAGCCCUCAGUGUCUGUCCUGGCUUAUCUCACUUGUGCUGCAAUGUGACUGCUUGAAGCAGAUACAUUUAAGGACUAACUAUGUGAUCAAACACACGGCAGAAAUCACUCAUGCUUUGACCAUGUUUUACAUGCACACAAAGUAGUCAGAAGAAACUCAUCCAGCUGUGGCUGUCUCAGCAAUAAGGAAAAACAGAUAUAUGAGGGCUACUCCAAAAGUAAUCCUUCCUAUGUGGGCUUAUAGUGUCAGAAGCGGAUGUUGGUAGGGCAGUAGAGGCUGAACCUUCCUACCAAUAUCCUAUUACAUUUUGUUGCCAUGCGACAGAUGGCAGCAGAGGGGCAGUCUGACAGAAUGGCGUCUGACGUGGAAGUGCAUAUGGAGCAAAGGUGUGUCACUGAAUUCCUCCAUGCAGAAAAAAUGGCAUCCACCAACAGCAAGUGGUGCUUGCUGGAGACUGAACAGUGAAUGUGGGCACAGUGAAGAGGGGAGUGGUGCAUUUUGGCAACAGUGACAGCAAUAUGAAAGACAAGCCACAUUCUGGACAGCCAUGCACAGCUGUCAUACCAUGAAAUGAAGAACAUCUUGAUCAGCUCAUCCACACCAAUUGGCUAGUGAUGGUCUCUAUGUUGAAAACUAGAGUUUGUAGCUGAGAAUUCACUCUAUCACACAGUGUUAUUGUGCUCUUUGCAGCUGUUAUAGUUUCCAUGGAAUUAAAUAGGAGGUACUGCUUUUGAAGCUAGCUAUGUAGCUUUAUAAUCAACCUGAAAUAUGCUCGAACUGUGGAGUUGUAAUUACAAGUAUAGGUUAUGAUUUCCUUUAGGAGUGUAGAAAUUGUGCCCAUGGAAUCUGAACUGUUAAUGAAAGCUGUGAUUCUCUGAAAGAAAUUUUCUGGUGUUUCACUGUACUCUCAGAACUGCAGAAAAUAAAAAUCGAUGAUUUUGAAGGUGAAAAUAAUCU